GUUCUCACUUUGGCAGCAUAUAUACUAAAAUUGGAAUGAUACAGAGAAGAUAAUCAUGGCCCCUGCACAAGGAUGACAUGCAAAUUUGUGAAGCAUUCCUUAUAAAU
This 107-nucleotide small nuclear RNA is filed under the name Sorex araneus (European shrew). Lineage: Eukaryota; Metazoa; Chordata; Mammalia; Eulipotyphla; Soricidae. The record is from RNAcentral.